AUGCUAAAGUGAUGAUGUGGCAAC
This 24-nucleotide non-coding RNA is filed under the name Arabidopsis thaliana (thale cress). Lineage: Eukaryota; Viridiplantae; Streptophyta; Magnoliopsida; Brassicales; Brassicaceae. The record is from RNAcentral.